RNAcentral lists this ribosomal RNA (269 nucleotides) under uncultured prokaryote. RNAcentral describes it as "partial 16S ribosomal RNA". It matches the Rfam family "Bacterial small subunit ribosomal RNA", at positions 524 to 792 of the family's 1533-position model. The record is from RNAcentral.
UACGGGGGGAGCAAGCGUUGUUCGGAAUUACUGGGCGUAAAGGGCGUGUAGGCGGCUUGGCAAGUCAGGCGUGAAACCCAUCGGCUCAACUGAUGACCUGCGUUUGAAACUGCCUUGCUUGAGUACGGGAGAGGAGAGCGGAAUUCUCGGUGUAGCGGUGAAAUGCGUAGAUAUCGAGAAGAACACCAGUGGCGAAGGCGGCUCUCUGGCCCGAUACUGACGCUGAGGCGCGAAAGCUAGGGGAGCAAACAGGAUUAGAUACCCGCGUA